CUUGUAGGUAUUCCCACAAAGCCUUAUGGUUUUGGUAAGGCGGCCUCCCUGUGAUCGGUGUCUCCCAGCCAUUGGCUAUCAUGGAUCCCUCCCAGGCCAAGAGAGUGGUAGCUUUUACUAGAUUUUCUGGGCUCAUAUGCCAACGGGAAUCUCCUGUCAAAGACCAGGUUCGGCAGAAACACGGCCUUCGGGUGCACGUGCCGUAUCAAGGAGUUGGGCUGGUGGACCCCUCCCCUAUCAGACACCCCACCCCCACUGCUCAGGAAUUUGACCGUAUUUCACAGUGACAGUCUUUACUUCUGAUUCUCCGGGGCUGGAGUAGUACCGGCAUGAGACUUGUUCCUCCUCUCACGUCUAUUCUCCUUCAAGCAGAAAGCCAAUAAAAAGAAAUGCAGCUCUCUGUUAGCCAUUUUGGGUUGUUUUCUGGUGCAACCCCCAAUCCCUCCAUGUGUCCAUGGAGAAGGACACCGGCCUCUUGAGCAGCCUCACCCUCUGAGUUCUGGGCGGUGGCUGCCAGUGAAGAGGGCAGCUCAUUGUGACCCUGGGGACGACGGGGGACGGGCUGUGGUGCUUGGGGUCCGUGGAAAAGAGUUCGAGAUGGUGAAUUGCUUUACCCUCUGAAAGAGAAGGGGAGGGGUGCUGUACAUUUCACACCACUGAUGAGCCCAAGAGGAGGGGUCUGUGCUCUGUGAAUAGGUCAAUGUGCCCAGAGUUCCAGAAGCUUCUACCUGACUCAGUGCUCCAAGGAAUGUACAUAUAUAUAUGUAUAUGGCUGGGCAUGGAAGGCAGCCUUCUCCCGCCAAAUGGAAGAGGGGCUCACAAUUUGCAAAUGCUUUCCUGCGUGAUGGCUCAUGUGGUCCCUGUGAGAACCCUAUAGGUCCUGGUGUCACAGCUUGUGAGUUCGAGCCCCCCAUCGGGCUCUGCGUUGGCAGUGCAGACCCUGCUGGGGAUUCUCUCUCUCUCUCUCUCUGCCCCUCCCAAGUCACACUGUCUCUCUCUCUCUCUCUCAAAAUAAAUAAAUAAAAACAAAAAAUGAA
Acinonyx jubatus (cheetah) is the source of this 1037-nucleotide long non-coding RNA. RefSeq lists it as uncharacterized. The transcript has 3 exons. Lineage: Eukaryota; Metazoa; Chordata; Mammalia; Carnivora; Felidae. The record is from RefSeq and is a predicted model, not a curated record.